AGCGAACGCUGGCGGCAGGCCUAACACAUGCAAGUCGAACGAACUCUUCGGAGUUAGUGGCGGACGGGGGAGGAACACGUGGGAACGUGCCUUUAGGUACGGAAUAACUCAGGGAAACUUGUGCUAAUGCAGGAUGAGCCAUUCUGGGGAAAGAUAUAUCGCCUUUGUAGCGGCACGCGUCUGAUUAGCUGGUUGGGGAGGUAAGGGCGCAUCACGGCGACGAUCAGUAGCUGGUCUCAGAGGAUGGUCAGCCACUCUGGGACUGAGACACGGCCCAAACUCCUGCGCGAGGCAGCAGUGGGUAAUCUUGCGCAAUCGGCUAAAGCCUGACGCAGCCAUGCCGCGAGAAUGAUGAAGGUCUUAGGAUUGUAAAAUUCUUUAACCGGGGACUAUAAUGACGGUACCCGGAGAAGAAGCCCCGGCUAACUUCGUG
RNAcentral lists this ribosomal RNA (433 nucleotides) under uncultured bacterium. Its description in RNAcentral is "partial 16S ribosomal RNA". It matches the Rfam family "Bacterial small subunit ribosomal RNA", at positions 29 to 507 of the family's 1533-position model. The record is from RNAcentral.